Esox lucius (northern pike) is the source of this 804-nucleotide long non-coding RNA. RefSeq lists it as uncharacterized. NCBI's taxonomy places the organism in Eukaryota, Metazoa, Chordata, Actinopteri, Esociformes, Esocidae. The record is from RefSeq and is a predicted model, not a curated record. The transcript is spliced from 2 exons.
AGAAAGCCUUUUUUAACACUUGCUAUGUUAGGUUAACUAGGAGAAACUAUUUAGCUUUUUGGUGGUUGUGUGGUGGUCUGCACAGUGGUUUUGCAACUAGGCGUCAAUGUUUUUAUUGAGCAAACUAAGGUUACAUUACUCAGAAAGCUCAGUUAGACUGAUUGGCCAAUUAAAAGGAAACAUUAGAUCUAAGCCUGUGUAAGCCUCAGACCAACUCCCUCUGGGCUGAGUGGCUACAAGCUAACUGAGGUUGUUAGUCAGGUGUUAGUCACACUUGCUGAGACAAUUUACUUCCUGGUUGGAUAAACAGUGAGAAACAAGAAGCAGAAUGUCUCAGGGGAAGCAGGUCGGAUUUUUAAACUCUCCUAACUCUUUUGGGAGUUGCUGUGGUGAGACAAAGUUCUGACUACAAUUUGAUACCAAGGAAUUUGGGAGAACAUUGCUGCUUUUCUGGGAAGGAAUAGUAUGAGGUAACUCAAACAAUAGAAUGACGUGGCUUGUGACAGGAUGCUGUCUCACUCUUAAGAUCCUCCUUUUACGAAGCACAUUCUACAGUAGGGGAGGGCAGACCUUGACGAAGACCUGAGCAUCCACCAACACACUCCAGCCACUACCCCCACUCCCCCAGAGCCAGAUCUAACCUUCUCAAGCCUGACUAAAAUGGAUGUCUUCUAUCUGCUCAGAUUAAUUAUUGUCUCUGAAUUGAACAACAAAUCCUGCCCAUAUUACAAUAACUAAAAUCUUAUAUUUUCUUUUCAUACUUUCUUUAAUGGGUGAAGUCAAAUAAAACUGAUCAUUAUUGCA